AAGGUAUGUGGGGGAUGCCUGGGCACACGGAGGCGAGGAAGGCCGUGGUAAGCUGCGAUAAGCCAGGGGGAGCCGCACACAGGCGAUGAGCCCUGGAUGGCCGAAUGGGGCAACCCGGCCGCUCGCAAGAGCGGUCAUCACUCUUCGGAGUGAAGCGAACCCGGGGAACUGAAACAUCUCAGUACCCGGAGGAAGAGAAAUCAACCGAGAUGGCGCUAGUAGCGGCGAGCGAACGCGCCCGAGCCCAAACCGCGGUCCUUGUGGCCGCGGGGUUGUAGGACCCACGCACGCGUAGUUGUCCGUUAGCUGAAGUCCCCUGGAACGGGGCGCCCGAGACGGUGACAGCCCGGUAGGCGACAACCAUGACAGCUGCGUAGUGGUGUUCCUGAGUAGCGCCUUGAUACCGAGUAACGAGGCGUGAAGCUGGGGGGACCACCCUCCAAGGCUAAAGACUCCCGUGUGACCGAUAGUGAACGAGUACCGUGAGGGACAGGUGAAAAGCACCCCUGGGCGGGGAGUGAAAGAGGACCUGAAACCACAUACCUACAAGCGGUAGGAGGCUGGGCACUCGCAAGGGUGUCACGGCUGACUGCGUGCCUUUUGCAUUAUGAUCCGGCGAGUUACUGCUCGGCAGCAAGGCUAAGGUGCUCUGCACUGGAGCCAUAGCGAAAGCGAGUCCUGUCACGAGGGCGACUGGAGUUGCCGGGCGUAGACCCGAAGCCAGGGCGAUCUACCCAUGAGCAGGGUGAAGCUGGGGUAACACCCAGUGGAGGCCCGAACCGGUGUGGGUUGAAAACCGCUCGGAUGACUUGUGGGUAGGGGUGAAAGGCCAAUCAAGCCUGGAGAUAGCUGGUUCUCCCCGAAAUCUAUUGAGGUAGAGCCUCGAGGAAGCCGCAAGGCGUGGUCCGUGGGGGUAGAGCGACUGGAUGGGCGCGGGGGCCAGAGCGGCCUACCAACCCCAACCAAACUCCGAAUACCAUCGGACUGGACCUCGGGAGGCAGUCGGCGAGCGAUAAUGUCCGUCGGCGAGAGGGAAAGAACCCAGAGCCACAGCUAAGGCCCCGAAGUGGCCGCUCAGUAUAGCGAAGGAUGUGUCGCUGCUGUGACAACGAGGAGGUUGGCUUAGAAGCAGCCAUUCCUUUAAAGAGUGCGUAAUAGCUCACUCGUCCAGCGGCGGUGCGCCGAGAAUGGUCGGGAUUAAGCGGCCCGCCGAAGCUUGGCCUUCAUGCAUUGCAUGAGGGGUAGGGGAGCGUUCCGGGAGCAGGGAAGGGACCGGGGAACCGUUGUCCUGGAGCGACCGGAAGUGAGGAUGCCGGAAUGAGUACGCGCAAAUCCGGGUGAAAACCCCGGACACCGUAAGCCCAAGGAUUCCUGCGCCAUGGCAAUCAGCGCAGGGUGAGGCGGACCCUAAGGCGAGGCCCCAGAGGCGUAGCCGAUGGACAGCCGGUCAAGAUUCCGGCCCCGUGUCACAGCGUCGAACCACCAGGGGACCCUGGAACGAAGCGGGAGCGGCUUUGUGGAUGGCCGUGCAAGGGUGUAGGGGGGCAACCCCCGAGACCUGACGCCAAGAGUCGGGGGCAACCCCGGCCCGAGUCUCGUAGAGUCGACAGGCAAGAAAAGCCGGGUGGGGAGCUGUGGGACGUCCGUACCGCAAACCGACACAGGUGGGCGAGGCGAGUAGCCUCAGGUGCACGAGUGAGACGUGGUCAAGGAACUCGGCAUAAUGAUCCCGUAACUUCGGAAGAAGGGAUGCCCUUCGCGGUUCGUGGCUUCGCGCCACGCGCUGGGGGGGGCCGCAGUGAAUCGGCCCAAGCGACUGUUUAGCAAAAACACAGGUGCGUGCCAAGCCGCGUAAGGCGCUGUAUACGCACUGACGCCUGCCCGGUGCCGGAAGGUUAAGGGGAGAGGUUAGACCGCAAGGUCGACGCUUUGAGCCGAAGCCCCGGUAAACGGCGGCCGUAACUAUAACGGUCCUAAGGUAGCGAAAUUCCUUGUCGGGUAAGUUCCGACCUGCACGAAUGGCGUAACGACUUGGGCACUGUCUCGACCACGUGCUCGGCGAAAUUGCAGUCUCGGUGAGGAUUCCGAGUCCCCGCGACAGGACAAAAAGACCCCAUGCACCUUUACUGCAGCUUGUCAUUGCUCGCUGCACCAGACUGUGUAGCAUAGGUGGGACCCGAUGAGGGGCGGGCGCUAGCUCGCUCGGAGGGGCCAGUGAAAUACCACCCUGGCUGGUGCGGCGUGCUCACCACGGUAGGCACACCCUAUCUGGGACCGUGGCAGGUGGGCAGUUUGACUGGGGCGGUCGCCUCCGAAACAGUAACGGAGGCGCGCGAAGGUGGGCUCAGCGCGGACGGAAACCGCGCCUACAGAGUGUAACGGCAGAAGCCCGCCUGACGGCGAGACCGACGGGUCGAGCCGAGUCGAAAGACGGCCGUAGUGAUCCGGUAGCCCGGUGUGGAUCGGCUAUCGCGCAACGGAUAAAAGGUACGCUGGGGAUAACAGGCUUAUCGCGCCCGAGAGUUCACAUCGACGGCGCGGUUUGGCACCUCGAUGUCGGCUUAUCACAUCCUGGGGCUGGAGAAGGUCCCAAGGGUCCGGCUGUUCGCCGGUUAAAGUGGUACAUGAGCUGGGUUCAGAACGUCGUGAGACAGUUCGGUCUGUAUCCGUCGUGGGCGUUGGAGAGUUGAGGGGUGCGGACCCUAGUACGAGAGGACCGGGUCGGACGAUCCGCUCGUGUCCCGGCUGUACCGCCAGGUGCACCGCCGGGUAGCGAUGAUCGGCACGGAUAACCGCUGAACGCAUCUAAGUGGGAAGCCGUCCCCAAGAUGAACUCUCCCUGUCCCCUUGAGGGACCUGAAGGGCCGGAGGAGACCACUCCGUCGAUAGGCCGCCCGUGGAAUCGCCGCAAGGCGUUCCGAGCGCAGCGGUCCUAAUCGCCCGUGCGGCUUGACU
RNAcentral lists this ribosomal RNA (2955 nucleotides) under sediment metagenome. Its description in RNAcentral is "bacterial LSU rRNA". It matches the Rfam family "Bacterial large subunit ribosomal RNA". The record is from RNAcentral.